GACGAACGCUGGCGGCGUGCUUAACACAUGCAAGUCGAACGGUGAAGCGCCUUCCUUUUUGGUGGGUGUGGAUGAGUGGCGAACGGGUGAGUAACACGUGAGUAACCUGCCCCCUUCUUCUGGAUAACCGCAUGAAAGUGUGGCUAAUACGGGAUAUUCUGGGUCUGUCGCAUGAUGGGUCUGGGAAAGAUAUUGUUUCGGUGGGGGAUGGGCUCGCGGCCUAUCAGCUUGUUGGUGGGGUGAUGGCCUACCAAGGCGGUGACGGGUAGCCGGCCUGAGAGGGUGGACGGUCACACUGGGACUGAGACACGGCCCAGACUCCUACGGGAGGCAGUAGUGGGGAAUAUUGCACAAUGGGCGCAAGCCUGAUGCAGCGACGCCGCGUGAGGGAUGGAGGCCUUCGGGUUGUGAACCUCUUUCGCCAGUGAAGCAGGCCUGCCUCGUUUGUGGGUGGGUUGACGGUAGCUGGAUAAGAAGCGCCGGCUAACUACGUG
This 494-nucleotide ribosomal RNA is filed under the name uncultured bacterium. RNAcentral describes it as "partial 16S ribosomal RNA". It matches the Rfam family "Bacterial small subunit ribosomal RNA", at positions 28 to 507 of the family's 1533-position model. The record is from RNAcentral.